GGUUAAGCGACUAAGCGUACACGGUGGAUGCCCUGGCAGUCAGAGGCGAUGAAGGGCGUGCUAAUCUGCGAUAAGCGCCGGUAAGGUGAUAUGAACCGUUAUAACCGGCGAUACCCGAAUGGGGAAACCCAGUGUGACUCGUCACACUAUCAUUAACUGAAUCCAUAGGUUAAUGAGGCGAACCGGGGGAACUGAAACAUCUAAGUACCCCGAGGAAAAGAAAUCAACCGAGAUUCCCCCAGUAGCGGCGAGCGAACGGGGAGGAGCCCAGAGCCUGAAUCAGCAUGUGUGUUAGUGGAAGCGUCUGGAAAGGCGCGCGAUACAGGGUGACAGCCCCGUACACAAAAGCGCAUGUGCUGUGAGCUCGAUGAGUAGGGCGGGACACGUGGUAUCCUGUCUGAAUAUGGGGGGACCAUCCUCCAAGGCUAAAUACUCCUGACUGACCGAUAGUGAACCAGUACCGUGAGGGAAAGGCGAAAAGAACCCCGGCGAGGGGAGUGAAAAAGAACCUGAAACCGUGUACGUACAAGCAGUGGGAGCACCCUUUGGGUGUGACUGCGUACCUUUUGUAUAAUGGGUCAGCGACUUAUAUUCUGUAGCAAGGUUAACCGAAUAGGGGAGCCGGAGGGAAACCGAGUCUUAACCGGGCGUUAAGUUGCAGGGUAUAGACCCGAAACCCGGUGAUCUAGCCAUGGGCAGGUUGAAGGUUGGGUAACACUAACUGGAGGACCGAACCGACUAAUGUUGAAAAAUUAGCGGAUGACCUGUGGCUGGGGGUGAAAGGCCAAUCAAACCGGGAGAUAGCUGGUUCUCCCCGAAAGCUAUUUAGGUAGCGCCUCGUGAAUUCAUCUCCGGGGGUAGAGCACUGUUUCGGCUAGGGGGCCAUCCCGGCUUACCAACCCGAUGCAAACUGCGAAUACCGGAGAAUGUUAUCACGGGAGACACACGGCGGGUGCUAACGUCCGUCGUGAAGAGGGAAACAACCCAGACCGCCAGCUAAGGUCCCAAAGUCAUGGUUAAGUGGGAAACGAUGUGGGAAGGCCCAGACAGCCAGGAUGUUGGCUUAGAAGCAGCCAUCAUUUAAAGAAAGCGUAAUAGCUCACUGGUCGAGUCGGCCUGCGCGGAAGAUGUAACGGGGCUAAACCAUGCACCGAAGCUGCGGCAGCGACACUGUGUGUUGUUGGGUAGGGGAGCGUUCUGUAAGCCUGUGAAGGUGUGUCGUGAGGCAUGCUGGAGGUAUCAGAAGUGCGAAUGCUGACAUAAGUAACGAUAAAGCGGGUGAAAAGCCCGCUCGCCGGAAGACCAAGGGUUCCUGUCCAACGUUAAUCGGGGCAGGGUGAGUCGACCCCUAAGGCGAGGCCGAAAGGCGUAGUCGAUGGGAAACGGGUUAAUAUUCCCGUACUUGGUGUUACUGCGAAGGGGGGACGGAGAAGGCUAUGUUGGCCGGGCGACGGUUGUCCCGGUUUAAGCGUGUAGGUGUGUGUUCCAGGUAAAUCCGGUUCACUUUAACACUGAGGCGUGACGACGAGGCACUACGGUGCUGAAGCAACAAAUGCCCUGCUUCCAGGAAAAGCCUCUAAGCAUCAGGUAACAUCAAAUCGUACCCCAAACCGACACAGGUGGUCAGGUAGAGAAUACCAAGGCGCUUGAGAGAACUCGGGUGAAGGAACUAGGCAAAAUGGUGCCGUAACUUCGGGAGAAGGCACGCUGACACGUAGGUGAAGUGAUUUACUCAUGGAGCUGAAGUCAGUCGAAGAUACCAGCUGGCUGCAACUGUUUAUUAAAAACACAGCACUGUGCAAACACGAAAGUGGACGUAUACGGUGUGACGCCUGCCCGGUGCCGGAAGGUUAAUUGAUGGGGUCAGCGCAAGCGAAGCUCCUGAUCGAAGCCCCGGUAAACGGCGGCCGUAACUAUAACGGUCCUAAGGUAGCGAAAUUCCUUGUCGGGUAAGUUCCGACCUGCACGAAUGGCGUAAUGAUGGCCAGGCUGUCUCCACCCGAGACUCAGUGAAAUUGAACUCGCUGUGAAGAUGCAGUGUACCCGCGGCAAGACGGAAAGACCCCGUGAACCUUUACUAUAGCUUGACACUGAACAUUGAGCCUUGAUGUGUAGGAUAGGUGGGAGGCUUUGAAGUGUGGACGCCAGUCUGCAUGGAGCCGACCUUGAAAUACCACCCUUUAAUGUUUGAUGUUCUAACGUGGACCCGUUACCCGGGUUGCGGACAGUGUCUGGUGGGUAGUUUGACUGGGGCGGUCUCCUCCUAAAGAGUAACGGAGGAGCACGAAGGUUGGCUAAUCCUGGUCGGACAUCAGGAGGUUAGUGCAAUGGCAUAAGCCAGCUUGACUGCGAGCGUGACGGCGCGAGCAGGUGCGAAAGCAGGUCAUAGUGAUCCGGUGGUUCUGAAUGGAAGGGCCAUCGCUCAACGGAUAAAAGGUACUCCGGGGAUAACAGGCUGAUACCGCCCAAGAGUUCAUAUCGACGGCGGUGUUUGGCACCUCGAUGUCGGCUCAUCACAUCCUGGGGCUGAAGUAGGUCCCAAGGGUAUGGCUGUUCGCCAUUUAAAGUGGUACGCGAGCUGGGUUUAGAACGUCGUGAGACAGUUCGGUCCCUAUCUGCCGUGGGCGCUGGAGAACUGAGGGGGGCUGCUCCUAGUACGAGAGGACCGGAGUGGACGCAUCACUGGUGUUCGGGUUGUCAUGCCAAUGGCACUGCCCGGUAGCUAAAUGCGGAAGAGAUAAGUGCUGAAAGCAUCUAAGCACGAAACUUGCCCCGA
Molecule: ribosomal RNA, 2776 nt
Filed under: Salmonella enterica
Lineage: Bacteria; Pseudomonadati; Pseudomonadota; Gammaproteobacteria; Enterobacterales; Enterobacteriaceae
Also listed under: 1 other name
Description: partial 23S ribosomal RNA
Rfam family: Bacterial large subunit ribosomal RNA
Source: RNAcentral